UAUGUAUUAUUUAAGAUUUUGAAAAUCUAAAAAGGUUUAAACACCAUACAUAU
Molecule: transfer RNA, 53 nt
Filed under: Camaena poyuensis
Lineage: Eukaryota; Metazoa; Mollusca; Gastropoda; Stylommatophora; Camaenidae
Description: tRNA-Ser
Source: RNAcentral